GACGAACGCUGGCGGCGUGCCUAAUACAUGCAAGUAGAACGCUGAAGGAGGAGCUUGCUUCUCCGGAUGAGUUGCGAACGGGUGUGUAACGCGUAGGUAACCUGCCUGGUAGCGGGGGAUAACUAUUGGAACCGAUAGCUAAUACCGCAUAACAGUAGAUAUCGCAUGAUAUCUGCUUGAAAGGUGCAAUUGCAUCACUACCAGAUGGACCUGCGUUGUAUUAGCUAGUUGGUGAGGUAACGGCUCACCAAGGCGACGAUACAUAGCCGACCUGAGAGGGUGAUCGGCCACACUGGGACUGAGACACGGCCCAGACUCCUACGGGAGGCAGCAGUAGGGAAUCUUCGGCAAUGGACGGAAGUCUGACCGAGCAACGCCGCGUGAGUGAAGAAGGUUUUCGGAUCGUAAAGCUCUGUUGUAAGAGAAGAACGAGUGUGAGAGUGGAAAGUUCACACUGUGACGGUAUCUUACCAGAAAGGGACGGCUAACUACGUG
RNAcentral lists this ribosomal RNA (495 nucleotides) under uncultured bacterium. RNAcentral describes it as "partial 16S ribosomal RNA". It matches the Rfam family "Bacterial small subunit ribosomal RNA", at positions 28 to 507 of the family's 1533-position model. The record is from RNAcentral.